This is a long non-coding RNA of Bombus huntii, 1178 nucleotides long. RefSeq lists it as uncharacterized. Lineage: Eukaryota; Metazoa; Arthropoda; Insecta; Hymenoptera; Apidae. The record is from RefSeq and is a predicted model, not a curated record. The transcript has 2 exons.
AACGUUUAGAUAUUAUUAUUUUUUUCGUUGUUACUUGAUACGGCUAGCAAUUAAAUAGUGAGAAUAAGAAGAAUUGGAAGUGCCAUUUUCGAAAAAGAAUUUUGGUUUUAAAUUGGAAAUUAAAUUUGGUUUGGACAUAUAUGACACAAUUUGUAUGGACAAUGAAGAGUACGAAUCUACGAAUUUCGAGGUAAAAGUAUUGAUAUAUGUAUCGAUAUUUCUGGUCGUUACAAUAUCUCUAAUCAAUACAAAGUUCUAACUGAAUGUUAGAAUGUUAAACGUUAAAACGUUUAAAACGUUAAAAUGUUAUAAUAAAGUAUAAAGUAUAAUAAAGUAUAAAGUAUAAUUUCGUCUGUGGUAUAAUCUUUCUAUUCCAUUUUGUUACGUCGCACCGCGAGCAAUAUGGCAACCAGAUGUCACCGGAUACUCGCAGCGUAUCCUCCAUAGUUUCAAGUACCUUCCAUAAAUCUCAUAGAUUUCCUAGAAAAGGUCCUUCAAACCAAACAAACGUCUGUUUCCGAAGAAUUUCUAAAGACUAUUGUCUACCCCGACUGGACAAGGGAAAGUUAGUUUUUCUCACGUAUGCUGCAACUUUCCUCCCACUAACCACUUUCUCUCGAGGGCGGUUAAGACCCUUCGUUAACCAAUUAACAACGAAGCCACUUCCUUCACUCUCCUAACUAAAAUCGUCACCAACAAAUCCGAUGGUCCCGUGCGCUAGACACACCCAUCCUUAGCUUUCCUCCGAGACAGCAUCGUCUCCCAAGACAGUUCUGAUUUCACAUCCUUCGAACGGUCAAUAUCCUUCCACCGGGUAGGACACACCCACAGAUCAGUCACUCAUUCAUCUCGUACAUAUUCUCAACGCGAGAAUUGAUUGUAAUUUCAAAAAAUAAAUAAAAAAAAAAAAUCUCGUACAUACGCACCAGCGUAACUGCCUUCGUUAUAAGUUGUUGGAAUAAACGGUGAAAUAUAACUUACUAUACUGUGUCAUAUUCAUUUAACCACCUCUUAUCUUAACCGAAACAGGGGAACGACUACUUCGCGGCGUCGAUUCACCGAAUCGUAGCGAGAAUUUACGCCUCUCGCUACUGCGACUGCGUCUCUCCGCGAACGGUCGUAACACAUUGAUCGACAGAAGUACUAAACUCUAAUAACAUAAAUUUAUAUAUUUUCUA